Cucumis sativus (cucumber) is the source of this 706-nucleotide long non-coding RNA. RefSeq lists it as uncharacterized. The record is from RefSeq and is a predicted model, not a curated record. Lineage: Eukaryota; Viridiplantae; Streptophyta; Magnoliopsida; Cucurbitales; Cucurbitaceae. The transcript has 2 exons.
GGCCUCCGCCCACCGCCACGUGACCCUCUGCCCAGCCCCGCCGCGUGACCUCUGUCUCCGUCGAAGCCAAGUCCAGCCGUCGUCCAUUCCUUUCCUCUCUUCUUCUCCGUUCGUGAAGCCCAGUCGCCGCGUCAGAUCGUCGAUCGAUUUUGAGGCAGCGCGCACGCCUCCUUCUAGCCGCGCGUUUCCUCUUCUUCCAGCAACGUGUUUUUUCUUCUAACCGCGAUUCACAAACCGACGUACACUCUAAUCUGUUUGCACGAUGGUUUUUGUUUAGAAUCGAUUGCCGCUGCCCCUAUUUUUACUGAGAUCCGUCGAAGUAUUGUUGGUGUGAAAGGUAACCUUGGAUCACUUAAAUUCACAACCAAUUUGUGAAUUUUGAUUUCGGUUUGCCCUUAUUUGGAUUGUUUCGUGGACGAUAGUUGAUUAAGGGAGCUUCCCUAACUUUGAGGUAAGGGACUUUCUACUGGACUCACCUAAAGUUUUUGAGUUGUGUUGGACUGUAUGGAUGAUGAUUAAGAUGUACACGUUUGGUUGCAGACUAAAUGUUUAGUGUAUGUUGUAUUUGACUGGAAACAUAUAUAUAAAUACAUUGAUGUGUGAAUUGAUGUGGAUUGCCGAAAGUAUACAUGUGAAUGACUGAAAUUAUGCUUAUGUGUACAUGAUGAUAUUAAUAGAUUGUGCUGUAUAAAGAUUUGGAUGUGAA